AUUGAACGCUGGCGGCAUGCCUUACACAUGCAAGUCGAACGGCAGCGGACCUUCGGGUGCCGGCGAGUGGCGAACGGGUGAGUAAUAUAUCGGAACGUACCUUUCAGUGGGGGAUAACGUAGCGAAAGUUACGCUAAUACCGCAUACGCCCUGAGGGGGAAAGCGGGGGAUUCUUCGGAACCUCGCGCGAUCGGAGCGGCCGAUGUCGGAUUAGCUAGUAGGUGAGGUAAAGGCUCACCUAGGCGACGAUCCGUAGCGGGUCUGAGAGGAUGAUCCGCCACACUGGGACUGAGACACGGCCCAGACUCCUACGGGAGGCAGCAGUGGGGAAUUUUGGACAAUGGGCGCAAGCCUGAUCCAGCCAUGCCGCGUGAGUGAAGAA
RNAcentral lists this ribosomal RNA (382 nucleotides) under uncultured bacterium. RNAcentral describes it as "bacterial SSU rRNA". It matches the Rfam family "Bacterial small subunit ribosomal RNA", at positions 30 to 412 of the family's 1533-position model. The record is from RNAcentral.